Molecule: non-coding RNA, 124 nt
Organism: Brachypodium distachyon (stiff brome)
Lineage: Eukaryota; Viridiplantae; Streptophyta; Magnoliopsida; Poales; Poaceae
Source: Rfam
ACUGUACUCCCUCGUUUCAUAAUUCUUGUCUCAAAUUUGUCCAAAAAUGAAUGUAUCUAUUCUUAAAAAAUAUCUAGAUACAUGUAAGAUUUCGACAAAAAUUAUGGAACGGAGGGAGUAGAAA